Molecule: transfer RNA, 87 nt
Filed under: Candidatus Roizmanbacteria bacterium RIFCSPLOWO2_02_FULL_41_9
Lineage: Bacteria; Candidatus Roizmaniibacteriota
Description: tRNA-Leu
Rfam family: tRNA
About the family: Transfer RNA (tRNA) molecules are approximately 80 nucleotides in length. Their secondary structure includes four short double-helical elements and three loops (D, anti-codon, and T loops).
Source: RNAcentral
GCCAGAGUGUUGGAAUUGGCAGACAAGCACGCUUCAGAAGCGUGUGCUCGCAAGAGCGUGAGAGUUCAAAUCUCUCCUCUGGCACCA